CCGUCAUUCCCAUCGCUUCUUCAUUAAUGCUUAGGUCUUAAUUUUACAAUGGAGCCUCUAAUGAAGCUUGUCUUUGAGUCAAUCUACUUAGUCUUUAUUGACUCGAGGAAUAAUCCAUUUUUCUCUUAGAAAAGUUGCUUCAACUGUUCAUGUCAAAUAAAAACAUAAUUUUUUUGGAGUUGAAGGGAAAUAUCCAAAUACAUGUCUUAUUCUUUUCAAUAAUCCAUAUUUGUAGCAAUGAAAUACUAUUCUUCCUCCCCCAAGCGUCAAUGGUUGAUUACAAAUAUCUAUAAUCUAUAUUCUCUAUAAAGGGCCUGAAAUACCUUGCUUACGUAUCAUUGAAAAGUGCAUUAACAUAAAUACG
This 364-nucleotide long non-coding RNA is filed under the name Jatropha curcas. Its description in RNAcentral is "long non-coding RNA (JCUR_LNC002919)". Lineage: Eukaryota; Viridiplantae; Streptophyta; Magnoliopsida; Malpighiales; Euphorbiaceae. The record is from RNAcentral.